This 245-nucleotide small RNA is filed under the name Pongo abelii (Sumatran orangutan). Its description in RNAcentral is "processed transcript". Lineage: Eukaryota; Metazoa; Chordata; Mammalia; Primates; Hominidae. The record is from RNAcentral.
CCUGAUCGCCUUCAGCAGCCACCUGCUCCUGUGGAGAAAGGAAGGGAAUUCAUUGCCAGCUCCCUGUGUGGGAACCAACUGCCAGGGGCAAUGCAGGACCAAGCACUUGAAUUUGAGCAGGACAGACAUUGUAACCCCACUCCUGCCACUGGGUCUCUAGAGCUGCUCAGUCCCUUCCAUAGGCUGGGGCUCAAAUCCCAGCUCUGCCACUUUUUAACUGUGUGACCUCAGGCAAGUCACCUAAC